AGUGAACGCUGGCGGUAGGCCUAACACAUGCAAGUCGAACGGCAGCACAGUAAGAGCUUGCUCUUACGGGUGGCGAGUGGCGGACGGGUGAGGAAUACAUCGGAAUCUACUUUUUCGUGGGGGAUAACGUAGGGAAACUUACGCUAAUACCGCAUACGACCUACGGGUGAAAGCAGGGGAUCUUCGGACCUUGCGCGAUUGAAUGAGCCGAUGUCGGAUUAGCUAGUUGGCGGGGUAAAGGCCCACCAAGUCGACGAUCCGUAGCUGGUCUGAGAGGAUGAUCGGCCACACUGGAACUGGGACACGGUCCAGGCUCCUACGGGAGGCAGCAGUGGGGAAUAUUGGACAAUGGGCGCAAGCCUGGUCCAGCCAUACCGCGUGGGUGAAGAAGGCCUUCGGGUUGUAAAGCCCUUUUGUUGGGAAAGAAAAGCAGCAGGUUGAUACCCCGCUGUUCUGACGGUACCCAAAGAAUAAGCACCGGCUAACUUCGUG
RNAcentral lists this ribosomal RNA (492 nucleotides) under uncultured bacterium. Its description in RNAcentral is "partial 16S ribosomal RNA". It matches the Rfam family "Bacterial small subunit ribosomal RNA", at positions 29 to 507 of the family's 1533-position model. The record is from RNAcentral.